Lycium ferocissimum is the source of this 7121-nucleotide long non-coding RNA. RefSeq lists it as uncharacterized. The transcript has 2 exons. The record is from RefSeq and is a predicted model, not a curated record. Lineage: Eukaryota; Viridiplantae; Streptophyta; Magnoliopsida; Solanales; Solanaceae.
GGGGGUGAAGAUGAGUUUGAUUAGAGUGUGGGGAGGAAACAAUCAAAGUGGAAUGCCAUUUGUGGAACUUGUUUUCGCAAAUAGUCACUUUUAGUCCCAGUAAAAUACAAGGUAGAAAUGACACAAUAAGGUAGCUGCUUUUUUAAGAGUUCUGAACCUAGUGUUUUAUUGAUGUUGAUUGAUCUGAAAAAUGGGCUGUGAUGAUGAUUUGCUUUUAUCUGGUGCUAUAAUCUACUGCACUACUUGAAGAAAUUGCACCAAUUAUCCUUCAAAUGGCUGGUCAUUAAUUUUUGCACGGAUUGGCCUUCAAAUGCACUGGUCUUUAAUUUUUGCCCUUCAAAAGGGCUGGUUUUUAACACUGCUUUGAGAAAAUCCGACCCGUAUCUUGGCGGGGCGACCCGGUAAGGCGUCCAUUUGCAGGCCGGUGUUUUGCAGCCAUGGCGUGUGUUGAUUUCUCGUUGCAUGUUUGUAGAACAGCAAAACUUGAGCCCUAAAAGUUUUCCUAUAACACCCAAUUGGGUAAUUACUAGGCUGUGUAAUUUCUAACGUAGUAAUUACACCAGUUCCAUUUACCAGGUGGCUUUCCAAACAGGCCCUAAGUGUUUUAUUGAUGUUGAUUGAUCUGAAAAAUGGGCUGUGAUAAUGAUUUGCUUUUUUUUUUCUGGGCUAUAAUCUACUGCACUGCUUGAAGUAAUCACACGAAUUGUCCUUCAAAUGGCUGGUCUUUAAAUGUUGCCCUUCAAAUGGACAGGUCUCUAACACUGCUUUGAGAAAAUCCGACCUGUAUCUUGGCGGGGCGACACGGUAAGGCAUCCAUCUGCAAAUCGGUGUUUGCAGUCAUGGCCUCUGUCGCUUUCUCUUUGCAUGUUUGUAGAACAGCAAAAUCUGAGCUCUUAAAGUUUUAGCUCAAAACAAUGAGGCAAUCGGAGAAAAAUUGGGAUUUUUUUAGGGUGGUUGACCAUCUCCGUUAUGCCAGUGACUUUAUCUUGGCUCUAAUCAACAGCCCUUUUAGCAUAUGCUUCUGUCUCUCUAUCUGUGACUGCUUUGAUGCUGCGUUUUCAGGCAAAGCAGCAGCAAAAGCAUAGAAAAAUGGAGGUUCUUCCCAGUAUGAAGAAUGGAAAAGGGUCAAAUAUACCCCUCUACUAUGAAGAAUGAGGCCAACUGAGAGAAAAAGGGAAUUAUUGGAGGGUGGUUGGCCCUUCUGAUUGGCCUAUGAUUUCCCCAUAAACAAAAUUAACAACUUGCUUCAGAAGUACUAUUGCUGUCUCUUGUUUUCCCUGAGCUUAUCAAACAUACUCUGAUCUUAUCUUAUGUUUGUUAAAAAAUGCUCGAAAUUGUUGUCCAAACGCCUACUUAUGGGAAAGUUUCCAUCUUUCAAACGAGGCUGUAAUGAUAAUGCUUAUCGCAGAACCCUCACCAUAGUUUAGCCCAGAAAGUAAGAAUGAGACAUCAGAGACAGAUGGGAUUUUCUGUAAAGGGUCGUUGCCCUCUCUCUGCCAUGUCCAUGAUUUCUUCUCCAUUCAUAACAAACCAACAGCCCUUUGAGAAACAGCAAAAUAUCAACAAAUUGAAAAAAAGAGACUAUUUAUGCGUUUGGCCAUCGAUUCCAAAUAUUUAGCUGAUUUUCGCAAAUAUCCACUUUUUAAAGAGUUUGGAACCUAUGACCUGAAAAAAAUGGGCUGUGAUGAUGAAUUUGCUUCUUUCUGGGCUAAUACUCUACUUUACUCACUGCGUUUGAGAAGUUCCGACCCGUAUCUUGGCGGGGCGACCCGGUACGGCAUCCAUUUGCAAACCGGCUUCUGCAGCCAUGGCGAUGUCGAUUUCUCUUUGCAUGUUUGUAGAGCAGCAAUAUCUGAGCCCUAAAAGUUGAAGGACCCAAUUUUUCUGAUCAAAUUUUAGCUCAAAGUUGAGGUAAUUGGAGGAAAAAAGAGGAUCCUUUGAGGUGUUUUUUUUUUUUUCUUCUUUUUUUUGUCUGUGUGUGAUAUAUAUAUAUAUAUGAAUGUGUUGUAUGCCCCUGUAAAAUACAAGGUAGAAAUGACACAACAAAGUAGCUUCUUUUCUAAGAGCCUGUUUGGAUUGGCUUUAUUUUAGGUGCUUUAAAGCCAAAAUAGCUUUUAAGCACUUGAAGAGUUCUGAACCUAAAUGAGGUGCUUUAUUGAUGUUGAUUAAUCUGAAAAAAUGGAAUCUGAUGAUGAUUUGCUUCUUUCGUGGCUUAUCUACUUUAAUGCAUUGAGGAAAUCUGACCCGUAUCUUGGCGGGGUGACCCGGUAAGGCAUCUGUUUGCAAACCGGUGUCUUGCAGCCAUGGCGUGUGUCGGUUUCUCUUUGCAUGUUCAUAUACAGCUCAAAGUUGAGGUAAUCGGAGAAAAGAGAGGAUUUUUUAGGGUGGAGGACCAUUUCCGGUAUGCCUAUGAUUUCAUUUUUGCUCUAAUCAACAGCUCUUUUAGCUCAAAAAUGAAAAAUAGGAAUAUAUAUGCACAUCCUUUUUCUGCUUCUGCAUACUACUACUACAGCUGACUUUCGCAAUUAGUCACUUUUAUGCCCCUGUAAGUUACAAGGUGGAAAUGGCACAAUAAGGUAGCUGGUUUUUUAAGAGUUCUGAACCUAGUGUUUUAUUGAUGUUGAUUGAUCUGAAAAAUGGGCUGUGAUGGUGAUUUGCUUUUUUCUGGGCUAUAGUCUACUGCACUGCUUGAAGAAAUUGCACGAAUUAUCCUUCAUAUGGCUGUUGUUUAAUUUUUGCCCAAAAUUUUGCAUGAUUUGCCCUUCAAGUCGGCUGGUCUUUAACACUGCUUUGAGAAAAUCCGACCCAUAUCUUGGCGGGGCGACCCGGUACGGCAUCCAUGUGCAAUCCUGUGUCUUGCAGCCAUGGCGAUGUCGAUUUCUCUUUGCAUGUUCAUAUACGGUAAAAUCUGAGCCCUAAAAAGUUUACUGGAAGUUUGGAACACCCUAUUGGAUUCUUCAGUUUCAAUUUUUAGCUCAAAGUUGAGGUAAUCCGAGAAAAACGAGAAUUUUUCAGGGUUGUUGACAAUCUCUGGUAUGCUUUUGAUUUCGUUUUUGCUCUAAUCAACAGCUCUUUUAGCUCAAAAAUGAUAAAGGGACUAUAUAUGCUCUUCCUUUUUCUGCUUCUGCAUACUAUUACAGCUGAGUUUCGCAAAUAGUCACUUUUAUGUCCCUCUAAAUACAAAAUGACACAACAAGAUAGCUGCUUUUCUGAGAGUUUGUUUGGAUUGGCUUAUUUUAGGUGCUUUCAUACCAAAAUAGCUUUAAGCACUCUAAAGAUUUCUGAACCUAGAUGAGGGGCUUUAUUGAUGUUGAUUGAUCUGAAAAAAUGGGAUGUGAUGAUGAUUUGCUUCUUUCUUGGCUUAAUCUACUUUAAUGCGUUGAGGAAAUCCGACCCGUAUCUUGGCAGGGCGACCCGGUAAGGCAUCCGUUUUCAAACCGGUGUCUUGCAGCCAUGGCGUGGGUUGAUUUCUCUUUGCAUGCUCCAUCAAUUUUUUGCUCAAAGUUGAGGUAAUCGGAGAAAAAAAGGAUUUUUCUUGGUGGUUGACCAUCCCCGGUAUGGCUAUAUUUUUUUUUUUUUUUUGGCUCUAAUCAACAGCCCUUUGGCGCAAAAAUGAAGAAGAGACUAUAUAUAUGCUUCUUCAUUUUUCUAUUUCUGCAUACUACUACAGCUGAUUUUAGCAAAUAUCCACUUUUAUGUCCCUCUAAAUACAAAAUGACACAACAAAGUAGCUGCUUUUCUAAGAGUUCGUUCGGAUUGGCUUAUUUUAGGUGCUUUUAUGCCAAAAUAGCUUUAAGCACUCUUAAGUGUUCUGAACCUAAGGUGCUUUAUUGAUGUUGAUUGAUCUGAAAAAAUGGGAUGUGAUGAUGAUUUGCUUCUUUCUUGGCUUAAUCUACUUUCAUGCGUUGAGGAAAUCUGACCCGUAUCUUGGCGGGGCGACCCGGUUUGGAAUCCAUUGCAAACCGGUUUCUUGCAGCCAUGGCGAGUGUCGCUUUCUCUUUGCAUGUUCAUAUACAGCUCAAAGUUAAGGUAAUCGGAGAAAAAAGAGGAUUUUUCAGGGUGGUUGACCAUCUCCUGUAAGUCUAUAAUUUCUUUUUUUGCUCUAAUCAACAGCCCUUUUAGCUCAAAAAUGAAAAAGGGACUAUAUAUGCUCUUCCUAAUUUUCUGCUUCUGCAUACUAUUGCAGUUGAUUUUCGCAAAUAGUCAUUUUAUGUCUCUGUAAAUACAAGGUAGAAAUUUCUCUUUGCAUGUUUGUAGAACAGCAAAAUCUGAAGUAUAAGGUAGCUGUUUUUUUAAGAGUUCUGAACCUAAGUGUUUUGUGUUUUAUUGAUGUUGAUUGAUCUGAAAAAUGAGCUGUGAUGAUGAUUUGCUUUUUUUCUGGGCUAUAAUCUACUGCACUGCUUGAAGAAAUUGCACCAAUUGUCCUUCAAAUGGCUGGUCUUUAAUUUUUGCCAAAAGUUUGGCCGGAUUGCCCUUCAAAUGCACUAGUCUUUAAUUUUUGGCCUUCAAAUUGGCUGGUCUUCAACACUGCUUUGAGAAAAUCCUACCGGGGCGACCCGGCAUGACAUCAAUGUGCAUUCCGGUGUGUUGCAGCCAUGGGGAUGUCGAUUUCUCUUUGCAUGUUCAUAUACAGCAAAAUCCAAAAAAUGAGGCAAUCGAAGAAAAAAAGGGAUUUUUUUAGGGUGGUUGACCAUCUUCAUUAUGCCAGUGACUUUAUCUUAGCUCUAAUCAACAGCCCUUUUAGCAUAUGCUUCUGUCUCUCUAUCUGUGACUGCUUUGAUGCUGCAUGGCUGCGUUUUCAGGCAAAGCAGCAGCAAAAGCAUAGAAAAAUGGAGGUUCUGCCCAGUAUGAAGAACGGAAAAGGGCCAAAUAUACCCCUCUACUAUGAAGAAUGAGGCCAACAGAGAGAGAGAAAGGGAAUUCAUGGAGGGUGGUUGCCCCCUCUGAUUGGCCUAUUAAUUCCCCAUAAGCAAAUUAACAACCCUCUUCAGAAGAACUAGUACUAUUUUCUUGUUUUCCCUGAGCUUAGCAAACAUACUCUGAUCUAUCUUAUGUUAGUUAAAAAUUGCUCGAAAUUGUUUUCCAAACAUCUACUUGUGGGAAAGAUUCCAUCUUUCAAAAGAGGCUGUGAUGAUAAUGCUUAUGGCAGAACCCUCACCAUAGUUUAGCCCAGAAAGGAAGAAUGAGACGUCAGAGAGAGAUGGUAUUUUCUGUAAGGGGUGGUUGCCCCCUCUCUGCUAUGUCCAUGAUUUCUUCUCCAUUCAUGAAAAACCAACAGCCCUUUCGGAAGAAAAAAAGAACAAGAUCGUUGAUUUUCAUGUGUGUGUGUAUCUAUAUAUAUAUAUGCUUCUUCCAGUUUCUGCUUCUGCUUCUGCUUCUGCUUCUACUGCUGCAGCUGAUUUCCGCAAAUAGUCACUUUUAUGUCCCUAUAAUAUACAAGGUAGAAAUGACACAAGGUAGCCGCUUUUAAUGGGUCAUUUACAAGAAUGUUGAUUGAUCUGAAAAAAUGGGCUGUGAUGAUGAUUUGCUUCUUUCUGGGCUAUAAUCUACUUCACUGCUUUUAGAGAAUCCGACCUGUAUCUUGGCGGGGCGACCCAGUACCGCAUCCAUUUCCAAGCUGGUGUCUUGCAGCCAUGGCGUGUGUCUCUUUCUCUUUGCUUGUUUGUAGAACAGCAAAAUCUGAGCCCUAAAGUGUACGGCAACCAUUUGAUGGUCUUGAAUUGAUGGUCGUUCUCGGGAACUGAGAUGUUCUUCAGUUUUUCUUGAACACCCAAUUUCGGAUGCAAUUCUUCAUUUACCCUGUGUUAUAAUAUGGACUCUUUUUUUUUUUUUUUUUUUUUUUGAUAAGAUAAAUAAUUUUAUUGACAAUUGGGGAAACUCUGUAUGCAAGCCAUAUACCAGAAGAAGAGAACCUACAUCAAAAUAUGGUUCUCAAGAAAAGAGGUCCAAUCCUCUAUACGUCUGAUAUGGACACUUUGGCAUUUGUAAAUGGACCAUUUCAUUGGCUUGGUUUGUCAGUGAAUGAUUUUGUGGUUUCAUUUAGUAUUUCAAAUGAGUUGUACGGAGAGAUACAGUUGCCAAAGGGAUUGUGCUUGAUUUUAAACGUGGCGUGCAUCAAAAGUGGCGUUUUAGUAUUGGGAGGAAUGCUUUGUGGUUAUUCUACUUAUACUCAUCAGGGAAGGAUACUUUUAAGUUAUGGGUAAUGAAAGACUAUGGUGUCAAGAAAUCUUCAAAUAAUCUGUUCAAUAUACAAGUUACCGGUCUUUAUUCAGCCACACUGAUAUAUAGAUUUCCAGAUGGUCAAGUGCUACUCUGCUGCGUACUUUUGGAACAUUUUGGUUCUGUAUUAAGGCAUCCAAAGUAUCUUUUGAAUUAUGGCCUCAAUGUGUACCAUUCAGAACGAAUUCGUUUAUACAGAAAGCUUGAUCUCUCCAUAAUUACUUACUUGAAAUUGGCUAAAUAUAUAUAGAAUGUUUAGCAAAAUCCUAGCAGUUAAGCCCAGAAAGGAAGAAUGAGACGUCGGAGAGGUGGGAUUUUCUGUAAAGGGUGGUUGCCCCUCUCUGCUGUGUUCAUGAUUUCUCCAUUCGUGAAUCUAACAACCCUUUGAGAAAAGAAAAACUAGAAAAGAAUAAUGAUAAACGAUCUCAACAACACCCCUUGAGUAUUUACCUCUGUAAAUAAGGGGCUAUGCUCUUCCUUUCUCUGCUUCUGCUGCUACCACUGCUAGCUAUGAUAAUUAGCAGCCCUGGUGUCAUUUCUACGUUGAUCUUCACAGAUCACCUGAAAAUGGGCUGUGAUGAUGAUUGCUUCUUUCUGGGCCAUCUAGUUUACUGCUUUGAGAAAAUCUGACCCAUAUCUUGGCGGGGCAAACCUGGUAUGGCAUUUUCUGCAAACCGGUGUCUACAGCCAGGGCGUGUCACUUUCUCUUUGCAUGAUCAUAUACAGCAAAAUCUGAGCCCUAAAGGAGUCUUUUGCACAACAAUGAGAAUUUGCCCUGAAGGAAGAAUGAGGCCAACAGAGAGAAAAGGGAUUUCUUGGAGGGUGGUUGAUCUCUCUGGUUGGCCUAUGAUUUCUCCAAUUAAAAAAAUACGUUUUCCUUCACUAAUGUACCCUGAGCAAAA